Molecule: ribosomal RNA, 253 nt
Filed under: uncultured bacterium
Lineage: Bacteria
Description: partial 16S ribosomal RNA
Rfam family: Bacterial small subunit ribosomal RNA
Source: RNAcentral
UACGUAGGGUGCAAGCGUUGUCCGGAAUUAUUGGGCGUAAAGAGCUCGUAGGCGGUCUGUUGCGUCGGCUGUGAAAACCCGGGGCUCAACUCCGGGCCUGCAGCCGAUACGGGCAGACUAGAGUUCGGCAGGGGAGACUGGAAUUCUCGGUGUAGCGGUGAAAUGCGUAGAUAUCGAGAGGAACACCGGCGGCGAAGGCGGGUAGCUGGGCCGACACUGACGCUGAGGCGCGAAAGCGAGGGGAGCGAACGGG